UAGGGAAUCUUCGGCAAUGGGGGGAACCCUGACCGAGCAACGCCGCGUGAGUGAAGAAGGAUUUCGGUUCGUAAAACUCUGUUGUUAGAGAAGAACAGCGCAUAGAGUAACUGUUAUGCGUGUGACGGUAUCUAACCAGAAAGCCACGGCUAACUACGUGCCAGCAGCCGCGGUAAUACGUAGGUGGCAAGCGUUGUCCGGAUUUAUUGGGCGUAAAGCGAGCGCAGGCGGUCAAUUAAGUCUGAUGUGAAAGCCCCCGGCUCAACCGGGGAGGGUCAUUGGAAACGGGUUGACUUGAGUGCAGAAGAGGAGAGUGGAAUUCCAUGUGUAGCGGUGAAAUGCGUAGAUAUAUGGAGGAACACCAGUGGCGAAGGCGACUCUCUGGUCUGUAACUGACGCUGAGGCUCGAAAGCGUGGGUAGCAAACAGG
RNAcentral lists this ribosomal RNA (429 nucleotides) under Bacteroidota bacterium. RNAcentral describes it as "Bacteroidetes bacterium partial 16S ribosomal RNA". It matches the Rfam family "Bacterial small subunit ribosomal RNA", at positions 355 to 776 of the family's 1533-position model. The record is from RNAcentral. Lineage: Bacteria; Pseudomonadati; Bacteroidota.